UACGGAGGAUGCGAGCGUUAUCCGGAUUUAAUGGGUUUAAAGGGUGCGUAGGCGGGCUUUUAAGUCAGCGGUAAAAAUUCGGGGCUCAACCCCGUCCGGCCGUUGAAACUGGGGGUCUUGAGUGGGCGAGAAGAAGGCGGAAUGCGUGGUGUAGCGGUGAAAUGCAUAGAUAUCACGCAGAACCCCGAUUGCGAAGGCAGCCUUCCGGCGCCCUACUGACGCUGAGGCACGAAAGUGCGGGGAUCGAACAGG
Molecule: ribosomal RNA, 252 nt
Filed under: uncultured bacterium
Lineage: Bacteria
Description: partial 16S ribosomal RNA
Rfam family: Bacterial small subunit ribosomal RNA
Source: RNAcentral